AAAAAAACACAGAGGAGAAAAUUCCAGAAAGACCUGUUACCUUCUCACCAGAAGUAUGGCCUAUAGCGAGAAGGACGGAAGUGUACUAGAACACUAAAAUCAAAAGACGAAGACAGGUGUAGGAACAACAAGAAAGUGUAUUAGUUUAACGCUCGAAUACAGAGAAUGGCUUAAGACAAAAUUCUUAUUUCAAAGUACCAACUUUCAAGAUAGAAAGAAAAAGAAAAUACACCAACCUACAAAUAGAAGUAUAAGAAAGUAUAAGAAAGUAUAUUAUU
Octopus bimaculoides (California two-spot octopus) is the source of this 278-nucleotide long non-coding RNA. RefSeq lists it as uncharacterized. Lineage: Eukaryota; Metazoa; Mollusca; Cephalopoda; Octopoda; Octopodidae. The record is from RefSeq and is a predicted model, not a curated record.